This 2001-nucleotide unclassified non-coding RNA is filed under the name Centruroides sculpturatus (bark scorpion). RNAcentral describes it as "zinc finger protein 384-like, transcript variant X1". Lineage: Eukaryota; Metazoa; Arthropoda; Arachnida; Scorpiones; Buthidae. The record is from RNAcentral.
AUUAAUAAUGUGAAACCGAAUUGAAAAUAAAACUGUAUUUUAUUUAAAAAAAUUAAGAUAUUACUUUUUCUUCUUAAACACAAAAUACAUUUAUGGUUAUUUAAACCGUAGAUGAAGUAACACUUGUGUAGGAGGAACUUUCAGCUUGGCACGUCGUAAUUUAACAAAGAGUUUAGAUUUUCCAAGAAGAAAAAUGAUGUAUAAAUGCAUAGCGUGUGAUAUGAUUUUUCAUGACAAACAUUUAUUUCUUUCUCAUCAAGUAAAUCAUACAUUGGAAGAACAUCGAUGCAAAAUCUGCCUACAGGGAUUUUUAAGAGAAACACAUUUAGAAAAACACAUAAAUGACGUCCACCCAAAAACGAAAUCUUAUAUUUGUGAACGAUGCUCUCGAGGUUACAAAACUAAAAAGAUUUUGCUUGCUCAUCUGAAAAUUCAUGCAAAAAAACCGUAUAAAUGUACAAUUUGUCCUGCAGAUUUUGCAACUGAAGAAACACUAUUGCAGCACUACAGGGGACACGAAUUUUUAGUACCUCCCACUCAAUUCUUGAAACAACAAUCGAUGCAAGCUGGUCCUUCUACUCAAAACGUGCAACAACCAUGGAUGCAAGCUGAUCCUUUUACUCAAAACGUGCAGGCAGCAUUGAUGCAAGCUGAUCCUUCUACUCCAAACGUGCAGGCACAAUCGAUGCAAGCUGAUCCUUUUACUCAAAACCUGCAAGAGCCGUGGAUGCAAGAUGAGUUUUUUAUUCAAAACCUGCUGGACACAUGGAUGCCAGCUGAUGCUACUACUUUAAACGUUCAGGCACCAUGGAUGCAAGCUAAUUUUUCUAGUCAAAACGAGCUGGGACUAUCCAUGCAAGUUGAUCAUUCUAGUCAAAACGUGCAACAACCGUGGAUGCAAGCUGAUCCUUCUACCCAAAACGUGGAGGCUUUAUUGAUGCAAGCUGAUCCUUCUACUCCAAACGUGCAGGCAGCAUUGAUGAAAGCUGAUCCUAAUACUCUAAACGUGCAGGCACCAUCGAUUCAAGCUGAUCCAUCUACUCAAAACCUGCAAGAGCCGUGGAUGCAAGAUGAUUUUUUUAUUCAAAACCUGCUGGACACAUGGAUGCCAGCUGAUGCUACUACUCCAAACGUGCAGGCACCAUUGAUGAAAGCUGAUCUUUCUACUCAAAACGUGCAACAACCAUAGAUGCAAGCUGAUCCUUCUACUCAAAAUCUGCAGGAGCCAUGGAUGCAAGCUGAUCCUUUUACUCAAAUCGUACAGGUACCAUGGAUGCAAGCUGAUCCUUCUAGUCAAAACGUGCAGGAACCAUGAAUGCAAGCUGAUCCCUCUACUCCUGACUUUUAAGAACCAUGAAUGCAAUAGAAGCUUUAACUAAAAAACGUGCAAGAACCAUCGAUUCAAGCCGGACGUCACUCAAUAAUUUGGCAUUUGAUGCACAAUGAACGGUAAAGAUCAACAAUGUGUAAAUAGCUCCGAAUAGAAGAAAACAGUAAAAGAAAAAUGUUGGAAUAAUUGUAACUUCUGCUUUAGUUGUCGAUUGUAACAGUGUCUUUAUUGAUUUUUAUCCACGGAAAAUCUCUGUACGUUAAGACUAUAGCACUAGAAGUUUGCAACUCAGGACUACAGAUAAAUAUGUACAGUAUUUUACAAUUGUUUGUUUUACUUUUCUUCAAUUAGUAAACUUAAAUUUUGGUGCAUUAUGGAACGCGAUCAACCUUCUGUUAUUAUCACCUGUUACAUAAAAUGUUAUUUUCCGUAUGCCAUGUCCAUUACGAAAUGUGAGAUGAUGUCUAAAAUGUACAGUAUAUGCAAUUUCGACCAACUCUUUUUUCAAAUUUUAUUUAAAUUUACUAAUAUACAAAGACGUAAUAUCAGAAAGUUCAUUUUACAUUUAAAAAAUAUAUAUAUAUAUAUAUUUAAAAUAUAGUAAAACGUAGCAAUAGGUGCGUUUUGUGUUCAUUUCAUAACAGCUAAAAAUUACGGGGGAAGAAUAAAAU